RNAcentral lists this transfer RNA (74 nucleotides) under Beggiatoa alba B18LD. It matches the Rfam family "tRNA". From Rfam's summary of the family: Transfer RNA (tRNA) molecules are approximately 80 nucleotides in length. Their secondary structure includes four short double-helical elements and three loops (D, anti-codon, and T loops). Lineage: Bacteria; Pseudomonadati; Pseudomonadota; Gammaproteobacteria; Thiotrichales; Thiotrichaceae. The record is from Rfam by way of RNAcentral.
CGGAGUGUAGCUCAGUCUGGUAGAGCAUUACUUUCGGGAAGUAAGGGUCGAAGGUUCGAAUCCUUUCACUCCGA